CCUAGAUAUUCUUCGAUCUAGUUAGCGUACAAGUAGAUCCAGGGAGAUCUCCUUCGAAGUUUCGAGUUUCUGGACCUCUCCGGUGAUCAUCUCUGGCCAUGAAAAUCUAACAGGUUGCAUUGUUAUGGAUGGAAAUUUGCAAAUCAGUGGUGGUGCAUUGGUGGUAUCAAAAGCUGCAAGCCUGCAAUAGACAAUUAAAAGCCUGAAAAAUCAAACCAAAGCUGCUUUUGAUUUUUGUUGCCCCCAAAGCUAAUUAAUGCUUUUGAUUUUGUUGCCCCCAAAA
This is a long non-coding RNA of Ipomoea nil (Japanese morning glory), 283 nucleotides long. RefSeq lists it as uncharacterized. The transcript has 2 exons. NCBI's taxonomy places the organism in Eukaryota, Viridiplantae, Streptophyta, Magnoliopsida, Solanales, Convolvulaceae. The record is from RefSeq and is a predicted model, not a curated record.